Molecule: ribosomal RNA, 1015 nt
Filed under: uncultured bacterium
Lineage: Bacteria
Description: bacterial SSU rRNA
Rfam family: Bacterial small subunit ribosomal RNA
Source: RNAcentral
CAGCAGUGGGGAAUCUUGCGCAAUGGGCGAAAGCCUGACGCGGCAACGCCGCGUGGGGGAUGAAGGCUCUCGGGUCGUAAACCCCUUUCAGCAGGGACGAAUCUGACGGUACCUGCAGAAGAAGCUCCGGCCAACUACGUGCCAGCAGCCGCGGUAACACGUAGGGAGCAAGCGUUGUCCGGAUUUAUUGGGCGUAAAGAGCUCGUAGGCGGCUCAGCAAGUCGGGUGUGAAAACUCCGGGCUCAACCCGGAGACGCCACCUGAUACUGCUGUGGCUAGAGUCUGGUAGGGGAGUGUGGAAUUCCCGGUGUAGCGGUGAAAUGCGCAGAUAUCGGGAGGAACACCAGUGGCGAAGGCGGCACUCUGGGCCAGUACUGACGCUGAGGAGCGAAAGCGUGGGUAGCAAACAGGAUUAGAUACCCUGGUAGUCCACGCCGUAAACGUUGGGCACUAGGUGUGGGGGCGUACCAAACGCUUCUGUGCCGUAGCUAACGCAUUAAGUGCCCCGCCUGGGGAGUACGGCCGCAAGGCUAAAACUCAAAGGAAUUGACGGGGGCCCGCACAAGCGGCGGAGCAUGUUGCUUAAUUCGAGGCAACGCGAAGAACCUUACYUGGGUUGAACUACGCGGGAAAAGCCGUAGAGAUACGGUGUCCGCAAGGGCCUGCGAUAGGUGGUGCAUGGCUGUCGUCAGCUCGUGUCGUGAGAUGUUGGGUUAAGUCCCGCAACGAGCGCAACCCUUAUCCUAUGUUGCCAGCGGAUCAUGCCGGGGACUCGUAGGAGACUGCCGGGGUCAACUCGGAGGAAGGUGGGGACGACGUCAAGUCAUCAUGCCCCUUAUGUCCAGGGCUGCAAACAUGCUACAAUGGCCGGUACAAAGGGCUGCUAUCCCGCGAGGGUGAGCGAAUCCCAUAAAACCGGUCUCAGUUCGGAUCGUAGUCUGCAACUCGACUGCGUGAAGCCGGAGUCGCUAGUAAUCCCGGAUCAGCUACGCCGGGGUGAAUACGUUCCCGGGCC